GGACUUUCAGAAAUUUGUUCUAGAACUCUGAGAUGUCUUCAGUUUACAAGUCUGUUGCCCUAGGUGAUAGAUUCAAUCUUUUAAGUCUGUUGAUUGUAUAUACUGGAAUAUAUGUUUAGUGGGUUACAAACCCAAUUUAUCUUUUUCAAUUUAAUUUUGUUUUAUGUGUUGGGUAUGGCUCUGACUACCACUCCUAAGAAAAACAUCUUAGGUCCUUAAUGAAGGCCAUGGUUUCCCUUUGUCCUCCUAGGAUUCUGCAAAUUUUUUUAUUGAGCCAUCUGGAAGGGGACAUGGAGACAGCCUAAAGAAAGAAAUCAGUUAUGAAUGAAAAAAGCAAGUGAUAGAAGAAUACAUAUGGUAUGAUUCACAGAAGAAUACUUGCAAUGUGAUCCAUUUAUAAAAUGUUCUAAAAGAGACAAACCAACAAUAUAUUGUCUAGGGAUACAGUCAAAGGACAGGGAAUGAUUACAACAAAAAUCAAGUUACUGCCAACAACCUCUGACAACUGGCAACUCUAUUGGAUGAGAAGGGGUUUUUCAAGCCAUGAUGCCGGCAAGAUAGCUGACUAGAGAUGCCUGGCACUUAUCACUCCCACAAGAAAGGACCAAUGCACUGAAUAAACAACUAAGAUUUGACUGGAAUGUCAAAGGGACAGCACUGGCAUGCAGCAGGGGAAUGGAGACACACCUGCGGUGACUGGAAGUCCAGGAGGGCAGUGUGAAGGCAAACAGCCUCUGCUGCCCUGUCUCCUCUGUCUGGAUCAGAUCAGCCUGGACACAGGAGGGACUUCCCAUUGUCGGGAAAAGGUUAGCAGAAUAUCCCCACCAGCCCCCAUUGCCACCACAAAUAUCAACAAUCCUUUCUACAGCAGAACCCCAUAGUCCUCACAGGCCUUGAGUACAGUGUUAAGAGAUGCUGGAAAUUCACAUAGCUGCAUUGCCCUGGAUUAGGAACACAAGGUAUGCUCCCCGCUGCCCCCAGAUCCACCUCUGUGAGCCAAGCUGCUACAGCACAGUGCCAUCUUGGAGUGCACUCUCCUCUGGGGGACAGUGGCCACUGCACCUCUCCAGCACUGGAGCACCAUCUUCAUUACACCUCCAAACCCACAUAGGUGACUGAACACUACACCCCAGCUGCACAGAGCCUGGGUCUAGUACUAGCUGUGACUAUGGUCCUGCACAGCAGGGAAACCAACCCCAGCCACCACACUUCCAGCUGGAGGAACUGAAACUGCCACUCUCACCCAGGGUGAACCUGUCCUUAAGCCGGCCAAACUGCUGCAUGCCCCCAAGCCGAAGAGACUCUUGAGCCUCAGAGCAGCUGAUAUAUCCCUGGGCCAACAGGGUGGCUAUGCACCCAUGCUCAGGACCUGAGAAACAGCCCCGUAGCACCCCUGGCUUGCCCAAUGGCCCUGUACCCCCAAUAAGGGCCAGAGAAAUCAUCUUGCAGGCUGCCCCUGACAGGCAUGUCCCCAGGCUGGGCAAGCAGCCAAGAGCCCAUGUCCAGGACCUGAGAAACAGCUCCUCAGGCUACCUCCAGUGGCCAUGCCCCUGAGCAGCUUUGUACCUGCAUCCCAGACCUGUGAAAUGGCCCUGUGGGCAGCCCCCAGCAGACACAUCACCAGGCCAGCAAAGCAGCUGUGCCCCCACAUCUCAGGCCCAAGAAACAUCCCUACAGGCUGCCCCUGGCAGAUAGGAUUCCAGGCCAGCUGAACAGCUGUGUGCCCACAUCUGACGCCUAAGAAACAGCCCCACAAGUUGCUCUGGGCAGGAAUACUCCCAGGUCAGACAAGCCACUGCAUGCCACCCAUUUAAGAAACAGCCCAGUGAGACCAUCCCUGACAAAGUCACACCACCACCUCUACAGACUCUCUCAGCCUAGGCUACUGAGAAACUUGCAAAUGCCACUAAUAUAGAUUAUAGCCGAAAAAACUAUGUGAAGACUAAACUACUGGAUCCACCUAGAACCGGGCCAAUGUGCCCCACCAAUCUGAUAUCCCAAGAUCUCAUACAAUAUUCAUACAAAUAUUUCCCUGGGAAAUCUACUACAUACGACUGAAAGAGGUGACUUUUCCAUCAGAUGCAUAGAAAUCAAUGUAGGGACACAUGAAUCAGGAAAAAGCAAGGAAACGUCACCUUCAAUAAAAACAAUAAUUUUCCAGUAACAGACCCCGAUCAUAAGGAAAUACAUGAAAUGUC
Molecule: long non-coding RNA, 2198 nt
Organism: Pan troglodytes (chimpanzee)
Lineage: Eukaryota; Metazoa; Chordata; Mammalia; Primates; Hominidae
Exons: 5
Source: RefSeq, a predicted model, not a curated record